GGCUUCCCCUCUCUCCGGCAGGGUGCUCGUGGAAACGAUGGUGCUACUGGUGCUGCUGGGCCCCCUGGUCCCACUGGCCCCGCUGGUCCUCCUGGCUUCCCUGGUGCUGUUGGUGCUAAGGGUGAAGCUGGUCCCCAAGGAGCCCGUGGCUCUGAAGGUCCCCAGGGUGUGCGUGGUGAGCCCGGCCCCCCUGGCCCUGCUGGUGCUGCUGGCCCUGCUGUGA
Molecule: long non-coding RNA, 223 nt
Filed under: Ursus americanus (American black bear)
Lineage: Eukaryota; Metazoa; Chordata; Mammalia; Carnivora; Ursidae
Description: lncRNA (ENSUAMG00000026818.1)
Source: RNAcentral